UAGUAACGGCGAGUGAACAGGGAACAGUCCAGCGCUGAAUCUCGACGCCUCGGUGUCGCGACGUGUAGCGUAUAGGCGGUGUGCUUGGCCGUGGCCAAAGGCACAAGUUUCCCAUGACCGGGGCGCCAGAGAAGGUGAUAGACCUGUAGCGCCUGAGGCCGUGGUCAAUUGCGCCGUCUUGGAGUCGGGUUGUUUGGGAUCGCAGCCCAAAGUAGGUGGUAAACUUCAUCUAAGACUAAAUACUCCCACGAGACCGAUAGCGAACAAGUACCGUGAGGGAAAGUUGAAAAGCACUUUGAAGAGAGAGUUAAAGAGGACGUGAAACCGGUAGGAUGGAAACGGAUAGAGCUAGCGAAGUCGCUCGCAUUCAGCCGAAGGCACGUGGUCGCCGGUGGUUUGGUUGCUAAUCAUGCCAGACUGCCGUCCGGUUGUGGGCUGAGGUGCAUUUGCGGGCGUAUGCGCUGAGACUGGUGGGAUCGCUGCUGGACCCGUGUUCUAGAGGCCGCCCUCUGGGCGGAACCUGGUCGCGGUUACGGCUGUUGGCCCUGCUUGUGUGCUUUUGUGCGGCGGAUCUUGGCUGCGCUGCUGUCUCCGGGCGGUGGUAUCGCAUGCGAUGCUUAGCUUGGGGCCUGUGGUUCGGUCCGGGUUCCUGCGCAGCAUCUCGGUGUAGAAGCUGGUCAUCUCUCCGACCCGUCUUGAAACACGGACCAAGGAGUUUAGCGUAUGCGCGAGUCAUUGGGUGCGAAAACCCAUAGGCGUAAUGAAAGUGAAGGCUCGGUUGCCGGGCUGACAUGUGAGUGCUAGGCUUCGGCUAUGGCACGCAGCAUGGUCCCGUUCCAGUCGCUUGCGACGGAGCGGAGACAGAGCGUAUGCGCUGAGACCCGAAAGAUGGUGAACUAUUCCUGAGCAGGACGAAGCCAGAGGAAACUCUGGUGGAAGUCCGAAGCGAUUCUGACGUGCAAAUCGAUCGUCUGAC
RNAcentral lists this ribosomal RNA (976 nucleotides) under Hemicriconemoides sp. MIZO_21B. RNAcentral describes it as "partial large subunit ribosomal RNA". It matches the Rfam family "Eukaryotic large subunit ribosomal RNA", at positions 81 to 910 of the family's 3401-position model. The record is from RNAcentral. Lineage: Eukaryota; Metazoa; Nematoda; Chromadorea; Rhabditida; Criconematidae.